RNAcentral lists this ribosomal RNA (497 nucleotides) under uncultured bacterium. Its description in RNAcentral is "partial 16S ribosomal RNA". It matches the Rfam family "Bacterial small subunit ribosomal RNA", at positions 28 to 507 of the family's 1533-position model. The record is from RNAcentral.
GACGAACGCUGGCGGCGUGCCUAAUACAUGCAAGUCGAGCGAACAGACGAGGUGCUUGUUCCUCCGACUUUAGCGGCGGACGGGUGAGUAACACGUGGAUAACCUACCUAUAAGACUGGGAUAACUUCGGGAAACCAUUGCUAAUACCGCAUAAUAUAUUGAACCGCAAUGUUCAAUAGUGAAAGACGCUAUUGCUUUCACUUAUAGAUGGCCCCGGUCCGCAUUAGUUAGUUGGUAAGGUAACGGCUUACCAAGGCAAGGAUGCGUACCCGACCUGAGAGGGAGGUCGCCCAGAUGGGAAGUGAGAAAGGGCCGAGACUCCAAGGGGGGGAAGCAGUAGGGAAUCUUCCGCAAGGGGGGAAAGCGGAACGGAGCAACGCGGGGGAAGUGAUGAAGGUCUUCGGACGGGAAAGCGCUGUUGUAAGGAAGGAAGGAAUGGGUAAUUAACAGUGCAGGUAGUGACGGUACCUAAACAGAAAGCCACGGCUAACUACGUG